GUGCAGCAGUCGCGCAACCUCUGCAAUACGCGAAAGCGUGACAGGGCUACCCCGAGUGCCGUCCGCUGAGGAUGGCUUUUCUCCGGUGUAGUAAGCCGGAGGAAUAAGGAGAGGGCAAGUCUGGUGUCAGCCGCCGCGGUAAUACCAGCUCUCCGAGUGGUAGGGACGAUUAUUGGGCCUAAAGCGUCCGUAGCCGGCCAAGCAAGUUUCCCGUUAAAUCCAACGAUCCAAUCGUUGGACUGCGGGAAAUACUGUCUGGAUAGGUGGCGAGAGAGGCCAACGGUAUUCCCGGGGUAGGGGUGAAAUCCCAUAAUCCCGGGAGGACCACCAGUGGCGAAGGCUGUUGGCUAGAACGCGCUCGACGGUGAGGGAUGAAAGCUGGGGGAGCGAACCGGAUUAGAUACCCGUGUAGUCC
This 415-nucleotide ribosomal RNA is filed under the name uncultured crenarchaeote. RNAcentral describes it as "partial 16S ribosomal RNA". It matches the Rfam family "Archaeal small subunit ribosomal RNA", at positions 330 to 747 of the family's 1478-position model. The record is from RNAcentral. Lineage: Archaea; Thermoproteati; Thermoproteota.